UGGGGAAUAUUGGACAAUGGGCGAAAGCCUGAUCCAGCCAUGCCGCGUGUGUGAAGAAGGCCUUUUGGUUGUAAAGCACUUUAAGUGGGGAGGAAAAGCUUAUGGUUAAUACCCAUAAGCCCUGACGUUACCCACAGAAUAAGCACCGGCUAACUCUGCGCCAGCAGCCGCGGUAAUACAGAGGGUGCAAGCGUUAAUCGGAAUUACUGGGCGUAAAGCGCGCGUAGGUGGUUAUUUAAGUCAGAUGUGAAAGCCCCGGGCUUAACCUGGGAACUGCAUCUGAUACUGGAUAACUAGAGUAGGCGAGAGGGGAGUAGAAUUCCAGGUGUAGCGGUGAAAUGCGUAGAGAUCUGGAGGAAUACCGAUGGCGAAGGCAGCUCCCUGGCAUCAUACUGACACUGAGGUGCGAAAGCGUGGGUAGCAAACAGGAUUAGAUACCCUGGUAGUCCACGCCGUAAACGAUGUCUACCAGUCGUUGGGUCUUUUAAAGACUUAGUGACGCAGUUAACGCAAUAAGUAGACCGCCUGGGGAGUACGGCCGCAAGGUUA
This 549-nucleotide ribosomal RNA is filed under the name uncultured bacterium. RNAcentral's name for it is "bacterial SSU rRNA". It matches the Rfam family "Bacterial small subunit ribosomal RNA", at positions 355 to 896 of the family's 1533-position model. The record is from RNAcentral.